AUUGAACGCUGGCGGCAGGCCUAACACAUGCAAGUCGAGCGGAUGAAGGGAGCUUGCUCCUGGAUUCAGCGGCGGACGGGUGAGUAAUGCCUAGGAAUCUGCCUGGUAGUGGGGGAUAACGUCCGGAAACGGGCGCUAAUACUGCAUACGUCCUGAGGGAGAAAGUGGGGGAUCUUCGGACCUCACGCUAUCAGAUGAGCCUAGGUCGGAUUAGCUAGUUGGUGGGGUAAAGGCCUACCAAGGCGACGAUCCGUAACUGGUCUGAGAGGAUGAUCAGUCACACUGGAACUGAGACACGGUCCAGACUCCUACGGGAGGCAGCAGUGGGGAAUAUUGGACAAUGGGCGAAAGCCUGAUCCAGCCAUGCCGCGUGUGUGAAGAAGGUCUUCGGAUUGUAAAGCACUUUAAGUUGGGAGGAAGGGCAGUAAGCUAAUACCUUGCUGUUUUGACGUUACCAACAGAAUAAGCACCGGCUAACUUCGUG
This 484-nucleotide ribosomal RNA is filed under the name uncultured bacterium. Its description in RNAcentral is "partial 16S ribosomal RNA". It matches the Rfam family "Bacterial small subunit ribosomal RNA", at positions 30 to 507 of the family's 1533-position model. The record is from RNAcentral.